GUGCAGCAGGCGCGAAAACUUCGCAAUGGGGGAAACCCUGACGAGGGGAUUCCAAGUGCCAGCACACAGUGUUGGCUGUUCUUCUGUCCAAAACGCAGGAGAAGUAAGGGCCGGGUAAGACGGGUGCCAGCCGCCGCGGUAAUACCCGCGGCCCGAGUGGUGGUCGAUUUUAUUGAGCCUAAAACGUCCGUAGCCUGCUUGGGUAAAUCCUUUGGGGUAAAUCGGCCAGCUUAACUGUCCGAAGUCCGGGGAGACUGCCAGGCUUGGGGACCGGGAGAGGUCAGAGGUACUUCUGGGGUAGGGGUAAAAUCCUGUAAUCCUAGAAGGACCACCGGUGGCGAAGGCGUCUGACUAGAACGGAUUCGACGGUGAGGGACGAAGCCCCUGGGGGCGCAAACGGGGAUUUAGAUACCCGUGUAGU
This 421-nucleotide ribosomal RNA is filed under the name uncultured microorganism. RNAcentral's name for it is "bacterial SSU rRNA". It matches the Rfam family "Archaeal small subunit ribosomal RNA", at positions 330 to 745 of the family's 1478-position model. The record is from RNAcentral.